GCAAGAGCCUGGGAACAUUUUAACAAAGUAUAUCCGGAUUCGCUAGCAAUAUCCGGAAUGUGUAUCUCGGAUUAUGCACAGAUGGAUUUAGUCCAUUCGGAAUGUCAGGGAGACAAUAUUCAUUGUGGCCAGUCUUUCUUACGCCAUACAACCUGCCACCAGAGAUGUGCAUGCAACGGGAGUUGCGAUUCUUGACCAUAUUAAUACCUGGUCCAAAACAUCCUAAAAGGUCGCUGGAUGUUUUCCUGCAACCCCUGAUAAAAGAGUUGAAGGAUUUGUGGUCAACUGGGGUGAGGACGUAUGACUGCUCAACGAAGAUGAAUUUCACGAUGCGAGCGAUGCUUUUGUGGACCAUAAGUGACUUUCCUGCCUAUGGGAUGUUGUCGGAAUGGACUACACAUGGGAGAUUAGCUUGUCCAUACUGUAAUGGAGCGACAGAUGCGUUUAAACUGAAGAAUGGAAGGAAGACAAGUUGGUUCGAUUGUCAUCGUCGAUUUCUUCCCAUUGGCCAUCCGUACCGAAGAAACAAGACAUUGUUUAGGCACAAAAAGGUUGUGAGAGACACUCCUCCUCCAUAUUUAACUGGAGAAGAAACUGAAAAGCAACUCGAUUACUAUGGAGCUUUGGAAACAGUUCCUCGUGGUGGUAAUUGGCAUGUCCCCCCUAAUAUGCCUGAUUCUUACGGUGUUCAUCACAACUGGCACAAGAAGAGUAUAUUUUGGGAGUUUCCAUAUUGGAAGGAUCUUCUUCUGCGCCACAACCUCGAUGUGAUGCAUAUAGAGAAGAAUUUCUUUGAGAACAUCAUGAAUACAAUAUUGAAUGUCCCGGGGAAGACAAAAGACAACAUAAAAUCGAGGUUAGACUUGCCGGAUAUUUGCUCAAGAAGUGAGUUACAUAUAAACAGCAAUGGGCAAGUUCCUGUUCCGAUAUUCAGAUUGUCUUCAGAAAAAAAGUCGGUGUUGUUCAACUGGGUAGCAUCAGAAGUGAAAUUCCCCGAUGGGUAUAUUUCAAAUCUGUCUAGAUGCGUUGAAAAGGGUCAAAAGUUCUCCGGGAUGAAGAGUCAUGAUUGUCAUGUCUUUAUGCAAUGACUACUUCCCUUUGCUUUUGCGGAGCUACUUCCUACAAACGUACAUGAAGCACUUGCAGGCAUUGGAGCAUUUUUCAGGGAUCUGAGCACCCGCACUCUUAAAGUAGAAGUCGUGGAACAGCUUCAAGAGAACAUUCCCAUCUUAUUGUGCAACUUGGAGAAGAUAUUUCCUCCUGGGUUUUUUGACGUCAUGGAGCAUCUAGCUGUGCACCUCCCAUAUGAGGCAUUGCUUCGUGGACCUGUACAUUACGAAUGGAUGUAUCAGUAUGAGCGAGCCAUGAAAUAUUUGAAGGGAAAAGCAAAGAACCUUGCAAAGGUUGAAGGUUCUAUAAUUGCUGGAAAUUUGACGGAAGAAACUUCUCACUUCACAUCGUACUACUUUGCGUCAAAAGUACGUACCCGGAAAAGAGCUCCAAGGAGAUAUGAUGAUGGUGGUGUCGCACCAACAUAUGCAGUUGCUGGUGUUCCAGACAUCUUUAGCCAGAUUGGGCGACUGGGUGGGAAAUCAAAAGAGGUUUGGUGGUCGAGUGAAGAAGACGCUCAUAGUGCACACACCUAUAUUCUACUCAAUUGUGAGGAUCCAUUGAUUCGUUAUUUUGAAAGCCUAUUUGUUUCACAAGUCGAAGAAACAUUCUAAGGUAUAUCCACAACUGACGUAGACAAAAGGAAAGAUCAACACUUUAUAAAGUGGUUGAAGAAUCAGGUUGAUUUUGACGACGAUGCAGAUUAUCCUAAGUGGUUACAUGAAGUAAUUCAAUCUCCACAUGUAAAGGUCACCACCUCACAGAUGUAUUUCACACGAGGCUAUACUUUUCACACAUAUGAGUAUGGUAGACAGCGGGCGACCAGUAACUAUGGAAUAUGUGUGAAAGGGGAAACCGAUUUCUACGGUAUCUUGACAGAGAUUAUUGAAGUGGAAUUUCCAGGGAUAUUGAAGCUGAAAUGCGUCCUCUUCAAAUGUGAGUGGUUCGACCCCGUCGUCAACAGAGGUGUUCGGUUUAACAAAUUCGGUGUAGUUGAUGUCAAUGGUGGACGAAGGUACAACAAAUUCGAGCCUUUCAUCUUAGCUUCACAAGCAGAUCAAGUUAGCUACCUUUCAUACCCUCGGAUGAGAGAAUCGGGAAUAAAUUGGUUAUCCGUGAUCAAAGUUACACCUCGAGGACGAAUCAUUAGUGGAGAAGAACCACCAUUGCAAGAAGAACAGAUAAAUGAAGUCGAGGAACCUGAACAACAAAUUGAUGACAUUCUUCUCAUUGAUCCGCAUAAUCAUGAAUAUGAAGAUCUUACCGACGAUGGCACAGACGAAGCUGUUGAAGACGAGUUUAAUGAAAAUGAUGAUGUUUCUAGUGAUGACGAAAAUGUAUCCGAUUGAUGUAUUUGUGUUUUAAUAUGAUUGAUUUUCAGACUUAA
Molecule: RNA transcript, 2497 nt
Organism: Raphanus sativus (radish)
Lineage: Eukaryota; Viridiplantae; Streptophyta; Magnoliopsida; Brassicales; Brassicaceae
Exons: 5
Source: RefSeq, a predicted model, not a curated record